RNAcentral lists this transfer RNA (86 nucleotides) under Audouinella sp. RNAcentral describes it as "tRNA-Tyr". It matches the Rfam family "tRNA". From Rfam's summary of the family: Transfer RNA (tRNA) molecules are approximately 80 nucleotides in length. Their secondary structure includes four short double-helical elements and three loops (D, anti-codon, and T loops). The record is from RNAcentral. Lineage: Eukaryota; Rhodophyta; Florideophyceae; Acrochaetiales; Acrochaetiaceae.
GGAAGGAUGGCUGAGUGGUCUAAAGCGAUAGAUUGUAACUCUAUUAAUAUAUUAUAUUAUCAUAGGUUCGAAUCCUAUUUCUUUCA